This 492-nucleotide ribosomal RNA is filed under the name uncultured bacterium. RNAcentral's name for it is "partial 16S ribosomal RNA". It matches the Rfam family "Bacterial small subunit ribosomal RNA", at positions 29 to 507 of the family's 1533-position model. The record is from RNAcentral.
AGUGAACGCUGGCGGUAGGCCUAACACAUGCAAGUCGAACGGCAGCACAGUAAGAGCUUGCUCUUACGGGUGGCGAGUGGCGGACGGGUGAGGAAUACAUCGGAAUCUACUUUUUCGUGGGGGAUAACGUAGGGAAACUUACGCUAAUACCGCAUACGACCUACGGGUGAAAGCAGGGGAUCUUCGGACCUUGCGCGAUUGAAUGAGCCGAUGUCGGAUUAGCUAGUUGGCGGGGUAAAGGCCCACCAAGGCGACGAUCCGUAGCUGGUCUGAGAGGAUGAUCAGCCACACUGGAACUUAGACACGGUCCAGACUCCUACGGGAGGCAGCAGUGGGGAAUAUUGGACAAUGGGCGCAAACCUGAUCCAGCCAUACCGCGUGGGUGAAGAAGGCCUUCGGGUUGUAAAGCCCUUUUGUUGGGAAAGAAAAGCAUCAGGUUAAUACCCCGCUGUUCUGACGGUACCCAAAGAAUAAGCACCGGCUAACUUCGUG